Long non-coding RNA from Hippocampus zosterae (dwarf seahorse), 338 nucleotides. RefSeq lists it as uncharacterized. The transcript has 2 exons. NCBI's taxonomy places the organism in Eukaryota, Metazoa, Chordata, Actinopteri, Syngnathiformes, Syngnathidae. The record is from RefSeq and is a predicted model, not a curated record.
ACGAGACUGCAAUAGAAGUGGAGUGUGAGACACAGACAAAGGAUAUAUGCGCUUCAACAAGCACUGGACCAUCAGACAUCAGUUGAUGUAAAGAGGAUCCGCCAAUGCAGACAGACCUAAAACAGUUUCCCAGGACCCUGAUGGGGGACAGGAGAAGCAGCUUCAAGGCAGGCUGGUACCAUAUCAACCCCUGGCUUGAAUAUUCUCAACAGAUGGACAUGGCGUAUUGUUACGCUUGCAGACAUUUUAGCCCUCCUAAUACUGUUUUUUUCCCUCAUCACUGUAAUGUUAUGACUACAAUGCUUUCAAAGUUUGUUGAAAUAAAAAGUCAAAUAAGA